Molecule: long non-coding RNA, 299 nt
Filed under: Mytilus galloprovincialis (Mediterranean mussel)
Lineage: Eukaryota; Metazoa; Mollusca; Bivalvia; Mytilida; Mytilidae
Source: RNAcentral
GUUGUUUCAUGUGUGCUGUUGUUUGUUUGUCUUUUUCAAUUUUAGCCAUGGUGUUGUCAGUUUGUUUUAGAUUGAUGAGUUUGACUGUCCCUUUGGUAUCUUUCGUCCCUCUUUUAUGUAAGCAUGGAAAUGAGCAUAGCACUUUUAGUUUAUAUGUCUUUUCGCUGUUGUCUUCUUAUAGGUGAUGUUUUUCCCUCGGUUUUAGAUUGUCACCAGGAUUUGUUUUCUCUCAAUCGAUUUAUGAUUUACGAACAGCGGUAUACUUCUGUUGCCUUUAUUUCUAAUCUAUACUAUUAAAC